RNAcentral lists this ribosomal RNA (369 nucleotides) under uncultured organism. RNAcentral's name for it is "bacterial SSU rRNA". It matches the Rfam family "Bacterial small subunit ribosomal RNA", at positions 526 to 896 of the family's 1533-position model. The record is from RNAcentral.
CGGAGGGUGCAAGCGUUAUCCGGAUUUACUGGGUUUAAAGGGUGUGUAGGCGGGCUUUUAAGUCAGUGGUGAAAUCUCCGAGCUUAACUUGGAAACUGCCAUUGAUACUAUUAGUCUUGAAUUCUGUUGAGGUUGGCGGAAUAAGUCAUGUAGCGGUGAAAUGCAUAGAUAUGACUUAGAACACCGAUUGCGAAGGCAGCUAACUAAGCAGAUAUUGACGCUGGGGGCACGAGAGCGUGGGGAUCAAACAGGAUUAGAUACCCUGGUAGUCCACGCCCUAAACGAUGAUUACUCGACAUACGCGAUACACAGUGUGUGUCUGAGCGAAAGCAUUAAGUAAUCCACCUGGGAAGUACGACCGCAAGGUUG